RNAcentral lists this long non-coding RNA (585 nucleotides) under Brassica rapa (field mustard). Its description in RNAcentral is "long non-coding RNA (BRAP_LNC008202)". Lineage: Eukaryota; Viridiplantae; Streptophyta; Magnoliopsida; Brassicales; Brassicaceae. The record is from RNAcentral.
CCGCGAUUAACGUAGGGGUUUUUCAGCGGUUUUUUUGGGAGAACAAGUUUUAUCCUUCCGAAAUGUUUUCGGAAAACGUGUUUUGGUAAAACCCUUAUGCAUCGAGAUUUGUUUACGAGGUUUUGAUAAGAUUUAUCGUUUCCCUUCUUGUUUACAGGGAGGAAUCGCGAGCUUGUUAUAGUGCUCUUCCUGUGGCGGAAGGUCGCGACUAAGUUUUCGAUUUUGUUGAAAACCACGGCGUUUGCGUAAGCGUUGGCCAUAGGAGCAGUCAGUGCUGCGAGUUUGUCUUUCAUAUAUCCAAACAUCGUUUCGAUCAAGCGUUUUGUGGCUAUGAGUAAGAGUAAUCCGUAACCCCCCCUCCUUCUAGCGCCAAACUGUGGGAACCGAAAUUCGCACUGUCGAUUUCCGUUUAAAUAAUGAAACUAGGAAAACCCUAAUUUCCCAGAGGUCUCGGAUCUCUGCGAGAGCCAACGACAAGUGAUCGAAUAUAUGCGGAAAUCAUGAAAAGAUAACAAACGAGUUUAGAGAAAACAGUAGAUCUCAUUUCGAGUCCGCGUAAGAGCGUUGCGAUCAUUACAAGAGAAU